RNAcentral lists this ribosomal RNA (422 nucleotides) under uncultured bacterium. Its description in RNAcentral is "bacterial SSU rRNA". It matches the Rfam family "Bacterial small subunit ribosomal RNA", at positions 355 to 774 of the family's 1533-position model. The record is from RNAcentral.
UAGGGAAUAUUGGACAAUGGAGGAAACUCUGAUCCAGCCAUGCCGCGUGAUAGAUGAAGGCCCUCUGGGUUGUAAAUAUCUUUUAUCUGGGAAGAAACAAUCUUAUUCUUAAGAUCUUGACGGUACCAGAGGAAUAAGCACCGGCUAACUCCGUGCCAGCAGCCGCGGUAAUACGGAGGGUGCAAGCGUUAUCCGGAUUCACUGGGUUUAAAGGGUGCGUAGGCGGGCUGAUAAGUCAGUGGUGAAAGCUCCGAGCUUAACUUGGAAACUGCCAUUGAUACUGCCAGUCUUGAAUGUCGUAGAGGUAAGCGGAAUGUUGCAUGUAGCGGUGAAAUGCUUAGAUAUGUUACAGAACACCAAUUGCGAAGGCAGCUUACUAUGCGAUGAUUGACGCUGAGGCACGAAAGCGUGGGGAGCAAACA